This 394-nucleotide ribosomal RNA is filed under the name uncultured bacterium. Its description in RNAcentral is "bacterial SSU rRNA". It matches the Rfam family "Bacterial small subunit ribosomal RNA", at positions 29 to 415 of the family's 1533-position model. The record is from RNAcentral.
AUUGAACGCUGGCGGCAUGCCUUACACAUGCAAGUCGAACGGCAGCACGGGGGCGAACCCUCGGUGGCGAGUGGCGAACGGGUGAGUAAUGCAUCGGAACGUGCCCAGUAGUGGGGGAGUAACUAGUCGAAAGAUUAGCUAAUACCGCAUACGACCUAUGGGUGAAAGCGGGGGAGUUCGCAAGAACCUCGCGCUAUCGGAGCGGCCGAUGUCUGAUUAGCUAGUUGGCGGGGAAAAGCCCACCAAGGCUUCGAUCAGUAGCUGGUCUGAGAGGACGACCAGCCACACUGGGACUGAGACACGGCCCACGACUCCUACGGGAGGCAGCAGGUGGGGUAAGUUUUGGACAAUGGGCGCAAGCCUGAUCCAGCCAUGCCGCGUGCGGGAAGAAGGU